Long non-coding RNA from Pan troglodytes (chimpanzee), 2810 nucleotides. RefSeq lists it as uncharacterized. The record is from RefSeq and is a predicted model, not a curated record. The transcript is spliced from 3 exons. Lineage: Eukaryota; Metazoa; Chordata; Mammalia; Primates; Hominidae.
UAAACUUGGAUCAGCAUUAUUUACUUUUACUAAAGAAAAAUUCUACCAGUGGAAAAAAAUAUAUGUAUAUAUAAGAAGUAUUUGAAAAUAUUUCCGAAAAUUCUAAAUUUUUUCUGUUAGAGACAAGUCAUUUAUUUGCUAACAAGUAAUAAAAAGGAAUUCUUAAUUUAAUUAAGAAUUAGAGUAGACCUUGAUCUUUUGCAGAAAUGCAAAGAUAUCUGAGUCACACAACUUAGACAAUUAAAAUUUUCUAGAUAGAAGUGUCAAUGUUGCGCUUUCCAUUGUAUUAGUGGCUGCUACAUUCUCUUUCUUCAAGUUUCAUGCCAGGAGUCAGAAAUAUUUCCUUGAUGUUGUGGGAGUCUGUGAGAAACAUGGUAACACAUUUGAUUGUCACGCUCCAACCAGCUGUGGGCGGAAGCCCAUAUUCCAGGGUUGCAUGGAAGCUUUCAUCUAUGAAUGUGGCCUCAUCAUCUUUGCUGGCCUUGUCUUGUUUGUCAACAGCUGCUGCUGUUGCUGCAUGGAAACAUUCAGCUAUCUUCAUGACAAAUAGCUCAAAGUGCUCAGUGAGACCCUCUUAGAGUGAUCAUUUGGUCAAAGAGCUCAUUAUCUGCAGGUGAUAACAGAUAAAUGUGGGACUGAUGUAAGUCACUUUCAGGAACUCCUUGACAAGUUUAUCAAGGCGCCUGAAUAUGUUCUGAGGUAGAAGACUUUCAAAAGCUUUUGUUACAUAGAUAUCACCAAGAAUUUUUUGAGUUUCUUCAGUUCCAAAGAGGUUAGUUUCUGGCAGCGUCACACCCAGCACUUUUUCAAGCUCUUCUACCACACCGAUUCUCCAGAAGGGUGAGGAGAAGUCAACCCAUAGGUUUGGCUUUCUGAGCCAUCUGGAUGGUGGGUGACCUUGUAACCACCUGUGAUGUGCUUCAUCCCUGACAUAAUCUUUUCUUGGAUUUCAAUGAGAUCAUGACAGUCUGCACAGACCAUAUAGGGUGGCAAAUCAAAUACAUUCUCUUAUUCCUUAACUGGCAUCCAAUUUCAUAAAUCCAGUCAAUGCUACUAACCAGCAUCUGAAGGUAGAGUCCUGGAGCAAUUCUCAAAUACAAGUUAAUGUCCAGCUUGUUGUAGCAGGUGAUGAAAGGCUUAGCCCCUGCUACCCGGGAUGACGUUCAUCAUGAGGGUUUCAAUGUCUAGAAAUCUCAACUCAUCCAAAAACCUUGUCAUAUAUGUGGUGAUCUUAGGGCAGAUGAUACACUGCUUUCUCAGAAAGUCACUCAGGAUCAAAUCCAAGUACUCAAAUAAUAUUGGGUCUCCUUGCCUUUGAGGCUAAAGUAAGGAUGGGGCAACAUGUGAGCCAGGAGGCAGCAGUGCAAUUUUGCAGGGGCUGAUGCUGCGCUCGCCCUUCUUGGUGUUUCCUAGAUUUUCCUGGACUCUGAGAACGUCUCCCUGAGGCAGUUUAUUUAUUGACUUAUAAUUCCUUGACCUGGCCAUAACUUGUAACUUCACCCUGGUCCGCAGGGGUCAUUAGAAGGCGAACUUUCCCCAGCUCUUUUGGCAUGGAUCUCCAGGGUGACAUCAGUCAGGUGGUCCCAGGCUGCAGGUGACUGCACUACGGGAUGAAGCAAGCGAGUAAUGUCCACAUGGAAGCUGCAGGGGUCUUCCCCAGUAACCUUCGGCGGUGGCCUGCGCUGGGGGACCUGUAAGGGGCCUCAAAGUUUCCAUUUGGGUCCACAGUUAGUGGUGUGGCUGAUGGCACCAGCCGCGGCUGGCCUAGCUGUUGCUCACUGAGCUCCGGCUUGGCCCCCUUCUCGGCUACUUUCUUCUCUUCAGCUCAUUCUUGUCAGUUCGGCAUCACCACCGCCCACUUCCACUUCAGAGCCCUGUCCUGCAGGCACCUUUCCUGACGCCUGGGGUGAGGAAGUCGAGACCUCUCGGCCAUUUCCAGGUUCGCUCGAAGCCCCGCCUCUUCGGGGGAGAGGAGGGUAGCGUCUUCCGCGCGGGGCUGCUGCGGCUGCGCAAUCGCGGCCUGGUGUCAUUGCUCUCCUCCUACUGCGCAGACGCGGUGCUGGGUUCGUCGUCCGGUGUGGAUGCCGGUCUGCCUGCUGCGCAGGCACCGUGCUGGGCUCGCGGCCUGGCCUCAGUGCGUGUCCUUUUGCUGCGCAGGCGCAGUGCCGGGUUCGCGGCCCAGCCUCAGUGCUAGUGCUUCUGCUGUGCAGGCGCAGUACUGGGUUCGUGGCCUGGCGUCAGUUGUGCGCCUGCGCGCUGGCGCUCUAGGCUGUGGCUCUCAGCGACUACGGAGGCCAAGGCAGGACGCGGGCUGCGGGCGUGGGAGGGCACGAUCUCAGCUCACUGCAACUCGGCGAGGCGCUGGCCGAGACCAUGACUAUUGGUUUUUAGGUGGUGUUUUGCUCUGUCAUCCAGGCUGGAGUGCAACGGCACAAUCUCAGCUCACUGCAACAUCUGCCUCCCAGGUUCAAGCCAUUGUCCUGCCUCAAGAGGAGAUUCUACUGUCUCAGCCUCCCGAGUAGCUGAAACUACAGGUCUUUAGAUAAUAACGCUUUCAACUGAUUGCCAAUCAGAAUAUCUUUGAAGCCACCUAUGACCUGGAAGCCCCCACCUUCCCGUUUUCUGGAACGAACCAGUGUACAACUUAUGCUUAUUGAUUGGUGUCUGUAUGUAACUUCUGUCCCCCUAAAAUACAUAAAAUCAAGCUGUGACCCAACUACCUUGGACACAUGUUCUCAGGACCUUCCAAGGCUGUGUCAUGGGUCAUGGUCCUCACAUUUGGCUCAGAAUAAAUCUCUUCAAAUAUUUUA